This is an RNA transcript of Gopherus flavomarginatus (Mexican gopher tortoise), 3535 nucleotides long. It is a transcript of the gene named GDNF family receptor alpha 3, with no coding region annotated. The record is from RefSeq and is a predicted model, not a curated record. Lineage: Eukaryota; Metazoa; Chordata; Testudines; Testudinidae. The transcript has 9 exons.
CAGCGCAGAGCCAGGAGGCGCCUGCCCAGCGGAGCCGAGCCCCGGCCGAGAGGAGCAUGUGAGCGCCCGGACGGACCUUCAGCGCCUGCCCGGCUCCAGCAUGGGGCUCCCUCUGCUGCUGGGGCUGCUCCUCUGCCGAGCCGGAGGCCUCCUUGCUCUGCCAAGGGACUGCAUAGCAGCUGAGAAGAUUUGCCUGAUGGACCCUGCCUGCAAUGCCACCUACCAGGCCCUGGAAAACUGCUCCCUUGAUAAGACACGUUUCCUCCCUCUGAGUCCUGAUGCCAGAGCAAGGUGCUGGGAUGCAAAGCUGGACCUCAGAAGCAGCCCUUUACUGCAUUGCAAGUGUCACCGCCGCAUGAGGAGACAGAAGCACUGCCUGCGCAUCUACUGGACUGUUCACUCCAGCUUCACACACGGUUAUUUCAAUUUGGAGACUUCUCCUUAUGAGGAUCCAGCAAAUGAAGAACCCUGGAAGAUUGACUACAACAAGCUGGCAGCUUUGGUUUCAGGUUCACAUCUAGCAGGGGACAGCGCAAAUCCCUGCCUGAAAGCAACUCACUUCUGCAGUCUGAAUAAGAAAUGUGUCCAUCUGCGCACAUAUUAUGCCUCUAGCUGCACCAAGGGGGCAGAGUCUGGAGACACCUGUGACCAGCGUAAGUGCCACAAAAGGCUACGACAGUUCUUUGAGAAGGUCCCUGAGGAUUUCACCAAGAGGCUCCUGUUCUGUCCAUGUCAAGAUGAGCUCUGUGGGGAGCGACGCCGUAAAACCAUUGUCCCUGAGUGCUCCUUCCAGGACAGCAUCAAACCCAACUGCCUCCUUCUUUUGGACUCCUGUAUCAAAGACCAUAUCUGCAAAUCCCGACUGGCUGAUUUCCAACAGAACUGUGAGCCUGCAGGCAUGUCCCCGGAUGGCUGUUCUCAGCACAACCAUGCUGCGUGCCUGAAGGCUUACAUGGGGAUGAUUGGUACAGCCAUGACACCAAACUAUGUUGGUAACUCCAGCACGGAGGUUUCACUAUGGUGUACCUGUGAGAACAGUGGCAACCAGCAGGAGGAGUGUGACCAGAUACGCAGCAUGUUCAUUAGCAACAAAUGCCUCAAAAAUACAAUUCAGUCUCAGAUGCAUCUGAGCCAGGCAACUCUGGAGGGGCAGGAAGGAUUGUUUUACAUGCCUUCCUUGAGCUUCCAGGGGGACAGCACCAACACUUCUCUUGCUUCAGAAAUAUGCCAGGUCACCAAGACAAAGACAUGGCCAGACAUCUCUGAAUACAACAGCAUGCCCAUGGCCUCCUCUGUUUAUUCUGGAGCUGGGGUUUCCUGGCCUCCAAUGGCCCUGCUGCUGCUGCUACUGCUCCUGCUCAGCCCACCUUAACUUGACACAACAGGCAUUUGUCCCUUCCACAUAAUUCUCCUUACUCUGCACCCAGACAUUGACCUACUAACUCACCCUUCGGGAACUGAAGACCUCCAGAGAAGAGGAACUGAACAGUUUCACCCCAGAACAGGAAGGCCUGCAUCCUUCUCUUAGGAGUGAGUCAUUUCACUCAGCUCCUUCUGCAGCUAGAACUGCAGGGGCUGGUUGUCCAACACUAUCUCCUCCCCCAACUCCUAGCACUGCAAGAGGAAAAGUAGCCAGAUGGGAGACUUUAGAGCACUAUUUUGUUUGUUUGUAAAAACAAAGCUAGUCAAAAUUCUGUCCAAACAGCGUUUGCCUUUUGAAUGAAGGAGAAGGAGAGGCUCCAGCAGGUACCUGCAGCACUCCUCCACCUGGCCAAUUGGUGCUUUUCCUCUAGAGCAGAAAGCACCAGACUGGUGCCCAAGGGGGCAGAGACCUACUUCUACAGUAUCCUGAGAGCAGAGCAGGGCAAACUGACCCAUAAACUCUGUAAAUACCAGCUCUGGGUUCUGUUCAGGAUCCUUUUGAUCAUUUUUCAAAUCCAUUAUUUUAAGCCUGUAAAAGAAAACUGCCCCAGAGCCAAAGCAAGGAAGCUGGGCACUGGCCUCUGCUCUUGUUUCUUGUCCCUUUCAGCCAUCCAUAUCUUCCACUCUUAGUGCUAACAGGAGAUGUAGCCUUGGAUUUCAGCUCGAUUUCUUCACUCAGUCCCAUUAAACCUCAUGGCCGCCCAGAGGAUUCAGGAGGCCUGGGGUCUUCGGCGGCAGGUCCCAGGGUGGAAGGACCCCCCCGCUGCCGAAUUGCCACCGAAGACCCGGAGUGGAAGAAGCUCCGAGGGCCCGGACUCCUCAAGAGUUUUCCGGGGCCCCCGGAGCAAGUGAAGGACCCCAUUCCAGGGGCCCCGCAAAACUCUCGUGGGGGCCCCUGUGGGGCCUGGGGUAAAUUGCCCCACUUGCCCCCCCCUCUGGGCGGCCUUGUUAAACCUUGUCCAACAUUCCAUGACACUGCCUGGCUAGACCAUGUUUUUCUAGGACAAGGCUUGUUCAGCUGUCCCCACCACAGCUCCCUAGAGACAUACUGUACUGAUUUGCAGUGCAGAGACCUCAGGCAGCUUCAGUGACCUAGUGUCCCUUCACAUACCCCUUUGCCCCCUCCACAGUCUCCCUCCUCUCUGUCAGGUUCCAUUUUAUGACCUAUUUAUUCUGGGUGUAAACACGUGUGUUGUGUAACUGCUAUUCUGUUAUGCUGCAGUGGACUGUAAAAAUGUGGUGUUCAAGUGAAUAUUGAUUUCUGAGUGCAGAUUAAUAGUCCAUAAUGAAUUAUAUGAAAAAACUGCCUUAUCAGGGAAGCUUAUGUUUUCAGGAAAGCUGGCAGACUCGGAGCAGCUCCUCUGUACACAGAUGGUGUGUGGCUUUGGAAGAAACAAUGAAGCUGGGCAAAUGUUAUGCUCCUGGAAUGGAUGUGCAGCUGUCAGACCUCUCUACUGAUCCCUGUGUUCCAUUCCUGCCCGUCCCUCAGGAAGGGAAUCUUGUGUUGUGUCACUUGCCAGAUGCCUGAGAACCAUAGCAUCCCUCAUCUCUGGAUGCGCAAAUUAUGUUUCUCCACUGCAUCUCUGAACUGUCCUUCAGUAGUGGUAAUAUUUCCACUUUGAAUCCCAGUCUUCUCUGUGCCCACUCACUGAGGCAUUACUUUCUUCCUGCUGCUGCAAGAAGCAGGGACACCACACUGCCCAGCAGAGGGGCUGCACCUAAUUUCCAUAUAUUGGAGAAAGUCACAGCCACUGCCAUCAUUAACAGAGAGGGCUGAUCUACAGAUGACAAAAUGUCCCACUAUGCACUGACACCUGGCUGCUUGGAUCAAGAGGGAGCAUGGACCCCAAUGUGCUUCUUACACCUCCAUAAUCAAGCUGAGCAUGGCCAUGUUAUAGGAUUCCCUGGGCUCCAUUUGGCCAUGCACUGGUCGGACGCUGACAUGCAGGGGCCAGCAGUUCCCUGGAAACUUCCUUUUUACAGUAUAGCAGGAGUUGCCAUCUCCAAGGACUGGUGGUGGGAGGAGAAGAGGUUUCUUCCCAGUGUCCCACAGCAUGCAUAAAACAGAUGCAAGGAGUUCAGGGGAAUGUUGGGUCAGCAAGCCCCUAUGCAA